Molecule: long non-coding RNA, 5765 nt
Organism: Cercocebus atys (sooty mangabey)
Lineage: Eukaryota; Metazoa; Chordata; Mammalia; Primates; Cercopithecidae
Exons: 3
Source: RefSeq, a predicted model, not a curated record
AAAAAGCCAGAGUAGCUAUAUUAAUUUAAGAAAAAGCAAACUUCUGAACCAGAAAAAUUAGCAGAAAUAAAGAGGGGUAUUGCAUAAUGAUAAAGGGACUAACUUUCCAAGAACUAUGGGAAAUAGUUCUAAAUAUGUAUGCAUCUAACAACAGAGAAUCUAAAUAUGUAAAGCAAAAACUGACAGAUUGGUGAGGUGUAACAGAAAAAUUUGUUAUUAUAGCUGGAGAUUUCAUAACUCCUUUUUCAGUAACUGAUAGCUUAAGCAGUCAGAAAAACAGUAAGUAUAUAGUUAACCUGAACAGUGCUAUCAUACAACUUUAUCAAAUUGACAUGUAUAGACUGUUCCAUCUAACAACAAAAUACACAUUCUUCUCAAGCUUUCAUGGAACCUUCACCCAGUAGACCCAAUCUAGGCAUAAAGCACACAAUUAAAGUAUUUUAAAAGUAGAAAUGAGACCAAAUUCUCAGAAAAUGAAAUUAAUCUAUAAAUUAAUACCACAAAUUAUCAUUAUCAGGGAAUUGCAAGUUAAAACAAUAGUAACUUAUUACUAUAUAUCUAUUAUUAAUAGAAUGGCAAACAUCCAAAAAACUGAUAAAGCCAAAUAUGGUAGAGGACACAAGGCAAAAGGAAGUACUCAUUGCUGCUAGGAAUGCAAAAUGGCAUAGCCAUUUUGAAAGACAGUUUGGCAUUUUCUCAUAAAGCAAAUCAUUAUUGUAAUAUACAAUCUAAUGUCUCACUCCUUGGUAUUUACCUGACUAGAAAACAUAUGCUCACAAAGAAACCUGUAUAUAAAUAUGUAUAGAAACAUUCAUGUGCCCCAAACUGGAAACAACCAAAAUAUCUUUAAUAGAUGAAUGAACAAACUGAAAUACCCAUAGAAUGUAAUAGCAUUCAGUAAUUUAAAAAAAUAAGCUAUCCUUCCCCAAAAUGCCACAUGGAGGAAACGUAAAUGCAUAUUGCUAAGUAAAAGAAGCCAAUUUGAAAAGACUGCAUGUUCCGUGAUUUCAGUUAUUUGGCAAUCUUGAAAAGGCAAAAUUUCAGUUUGCUGAGGAUAAUGUCUUCCAGCUCCAUCCAAGUCCCUGCAGUUACAAGAUCAGUGGUUUUCUCAGUUCAGCAGUGCAUGGUCUAGUUUUGAAUAGGUGAAGCACAAGAGAUUUUAUAGAGUGAUAAAACUACCAAUACUUUUGUCAAAAUCCACAGAAAUUUAUAGUAUAGGAAGUGAAACUUUAUAUGUGCAGCAUAAAAUAAAUUAUUUAGAAGGCUCAGGGAUCCUAGGAUUAAAUGCAGAAAGUGACAAAAGAAUCUAACGGUAUUACAAGUGUAAUCAACAACCUCACUGAGAUAAACAUUAGUGAAGUUGGAGAAACAAUAUCCCUGGGGGUAGUUGGAGAAUAGGUGCUGACCUAAAUAACUUUGAAAAUGAGUGAAACCUGUAAGAGUAAAGGCAAAUGAAACUGUGCAUAAGCACUGUACUCUAGUUGAUAAAUUGUUUUCCAUAGGGAUAGAUGUUAACAAUUUUGAUACCAGUAUAUAAAUGUAUCCUAGAAUUGAACAUUUCAGUAAAUGGGUUCUAGGUGGUAGGAGCUAAACCUAGCUCCUACAGUUUACCAAUAAGCAAAGGAAGCAGGCUAGAAUGAACUGUGUUAGAAUAAGAAUUGGAGCAUUCAGUAUGAACUCAUGUUUAGCUUAAUAGAGAUACAGUUGUUAUAGAAAUAUGUAUAUGUAUAUAUGUAUAUGCAUGUAUGUGCCACUUAUACACCAAAUGCUCAGAUCUUGGUUUAUAAUACUAUUCUCCAAUGAAAGGACCAGUGAUUCUUCCGGAAAUAGCAAAUUCAUGUACUAUUCAUGUACAGGAAAUAUAUUAAUACAAGAUGAGUCUGGAACAUCUAGUAGGGACAGAAAGAAAGAAGAAAGAGGGAGGAGGAGGAAGAAAGAAGAGAAGGAAGAAGGAAGGAGAAGGAAGAAGCAAGAACAAGGAGAAAGGACCAGGACGAGGAGGAGGAGGAGAAGAAACAUAAUUUUGGGGGUACGUAAAAAAGACAUUUAAGUCAACGGAAUGAGCUCUCCAUGGCAAAAUCUGGAAUGGUUUGAGCAACAAAAUAAAGUGGUAUUGAAAUAUAGCCCAGAAUAUAAGAAAAUUCAUACCUUAUACUAAUAUAAAUAAAUGAUAGUAUAAAUAAAUAAAUAACGGGUAAAAGUAGGUACAUCUACGUAGAGUAAUUGCACACAGGGCUUUAUAUCUGUGUUCACAGAAUUUUCUCUUCUAUAAGUCUGUGAAUGUCUGUAGAACAGGAACAGUGUUUUAUUGAUCAGAGAUCAAUUGUGUGACAUGGGCUGAACAAAUACCUGGCAAUUAGUAGGUGCCCAGAAAAUAUUGGUUCAGCCCAAGUCACACAAUUUAUACUUGAGAUUUUUUUUUGUUAGUUUUUACCUAAUGUCCUUUCUAAUGUUCACAUUGAAAUUAAGGAAAAUAACUAUUUAUCUUCUUAAAAUAGCCUGAAAUGCUUUAGCUUUUCUCAGAGUUAAUAUUUUUUCUAAUCAUAAAUACCAUCAUCUCCACAGACUCCAUGGAAAGGUAUCAAAAGUAGAGAGCAUCCUGCUAGAUUGUAACACGUGACUUAAGCUCCUGUGCAUUUGUUUUUAAUCUUCAUCUUUUUUUCCUCCAGCUCUGUUAGUAUUGUAUUGAUCAAGUUUCCCAAACAUGCGAUCUGAGGGCUGUGUUUGAUUACAUUUGAGUUUCUAGGCACAUGAACAUGGUGGCUAUUUGGAAAGACUGACUUUGCAGGGGAAAAAGAGCACUGGUCUAUGAGUCUGGAAUUAAAAUUCUCUUCCUGACUUUGUUCCUAAGCUAGCCUCGGAACCUCGGUGAGUUGCUGCACCUGUCACAGUCUGGGUUUCCUCAUUUGCAGGGACAAUAAGGGCCAAAAGAUCUUUGAGUUUCCUUCUUCCUUUACAGUUGAUGGUACAAUGUGGGCUCAUUUCUGCAAUCCAGCUGAGUUCUCAAACUGGUAAGUUUGUGAAUAAGACUGCAGUUUCGAAUUUGGGCUUCUCAAUCCAGGGAAAGAAGUCUCUCUUGGUUUGGGUAGGGUGAGAGGCAUGAAAUUUUCUCUAGAGAGAGUUUUCCCUUUGAUUUUAGAACGUUGGGUGGUAUGUCUUGCCCAUCAAAAUGGAGAGAAUAGGAUGAAUGAUAAUUUGUUAGUUGGAACAGCUUCCCACAAGAAAUGAAAGAGAAGUAAAAGGCAGAAUAAAUGACUAACCUUUGCCUUGCCCAGCAGAAAAGCUGGUGAAAUUUAGAAAUAUAGUCAUGUUUCUAUUCACUCAGGCUCUCUACCUGAACCAACAACCAUUCGUGAAACUUUCCACAUUAAACUUUCAGUUCCAGUAAAGUUCAUAGCAGUCUUUAAAACUGCACCCGGAGGUGACAACAUAACAUUCCUUUGGGUCUGAUGCAUAGAGGCUUAGAGUGUGAGGGCUGAAAAGGGUUUUUGAGGGCAAAGGGACAUAUAAGUGUGUUUUACCAUGUGCAUAAUACUUAACUUACAUGAAUGAUCCUGGCUGGAUGCUUUUUAUGUAUUAUUUCUAAUCCUUCUCAGAAUCCAGCAAAACAGGUGGUUCACAAAGGAGAAAACUGAGGCUCAAGCAAGGUAAAUAACUUACCCGGUUUUACUCAACUCCAAGAGGCUGGUUUGAGUUUUUAACCCAAGUCUGUCUGACUCCCCUUCCUCAACUGUGUUCUCACAUUAUUAACUCCUAGUCUUGCUUCAAUCCUGCCUCUGGGAAGCCUUCCUUGACCCUCCCAGAGAAUAUAAAUUACAGGAAUUCCCCUUUCUGUAAUUGCUUUGUGGUGUGGUUCACACAGGGUUUUAUAUCUGUGUUCACUUAAUUUUCUCUUCUGUAAGUCUGUGAAUGUCUGUUGAACAUGGACAGUGUUUUAUUGGUCUCUGAAUCCUAGUACCUGGCAAUUGGUAGGUGCCCAGAAAACAUUUGUUCAGCCCAAGUCACACAAUUCAUUGGACACAGAGCCAGAACUAAAUCCAGACCUCUUGACUCCUGGUCCAGAAUUCUUUCACCACCACAUUAUUACUUUUAGAUUUUUAAUCGCAUCCAACUUCCAGCUUAUUCUCCCCAUAAAACCUCCUUGUUCCCUCACCCCAAACCCUGCACAUGAUUCCUGUGAGCAGUGGAAAUGUUUUCAUCACAAUUUUGAAGGCUUGAACUUACUGUGGACUUACUGUGGACCCAGCGCAGACUCACUAUGUGACUCCUCUUUUCUCCUGACAGUGCUCCCAGGUGAAUGCUGCUAUCGAUCCCAUUUUACAAUGUAGAAACUGAGGAAUUGAGAUAGUAACUGCAUCAAGAUCUCACAACUGGGGUAAAAAUCCAUGCAAUAUGGCCCUAGAUGAACAUAAUCUGAAAGACUGGGCUCCACGUCUAAAGGUUGGGACAGAGAGCGAGUCUCCUUGCUCAGGUUUUAUCUCUUGUUAGAUGCCAAAUAUAAUUUCUUUUAUGAAAUAGCUGAGAUGUCUUGAUCCUUAAGGAACAUAAGUAACACCAGGUUCCAAGGGUAAUUUAAUUGCAGUCACCCACUCCUUUUAAUCCCUGCAAACUUUUACCCAGAGCUUUGAAACAGGUUGCCGAGCACUUCCCAUAUUGAAUCUGUGCAUACUCUGGUUUCUUACAAGGUCAUGUGAAGGAUAAGAUUCAGAGCAUUCCAGGGAGAUUAUGCUCCAACUGCAAAAACCUGAAAAAGCAAUUGAUAAAGGCUUAGCUGCAUUACUCUGAAGACUUUGGUAUUGUGGGGUAAUCAUACAUAGCAACCCUCACAAGGUUCUGAGGCUUAUCUCAUUUUAUGUGCUCUUUUUUCCUUGGAGAGUCUAAAUCUCUCCUGUAGAUUAAAAUGUAAUGACACAAUGACUUGAGACAGAAAAGCAUCGAAAAUCAUACUUUGAGGUAUUAUAGGAUAUAUGUAACGUUAUGCACAAAUAUGAAAGAGGAUUUGAAUUCAGCAAACAACUCCAGGUGCAUCAUAUGUUUCUAUUUGUAUAAAAUUUUAAAUUUUUAAACAAUAAGACCGCAGUGGGGCAGGGUGAGGAAGGGUCCAUGGAGCCUCUCCAGGCUCUUCCUCCUUCAUGGGAGAAGCUUCCCUCAAAGGAGGAGCUGCAAAAGAUGAAAGGGAAGAGGCCAGGAGAGCUCACACCAGCUCUCCAAGCAAUUGAGCCUCCCUGGAGCUGUAAAGCAGGAAACUCAGCUUCUGGGUGCGGCCCUGAUCCUUUAAAAGCCCAGAUGCCAACUCCAUAGGGGCAGACCCAUCUCUCAGCUGAUUGAGGAAUGUCAUCCAGUGCUAGGUCAUAUUUACUUGUUUAUUUUCUCUCUCACCUCUAAUCUCCAUAAAGCAAGUUUCAUGAAGCAAGGAACAGAUCUCUCUAGUUCAAUGCUGUAUUCCUAGUUUUGGAACAAUGCCAGGCUGGAAAGGAAGAACAGGAGAGUUGGUGGAGAGAGAGAUUGGAUAUUAGAAGAACCCACGUAACUCAGAGACAAUGCACACCAGGCAACGGAAGAAAGCAGCCUAAAUGGAAUGAGGCUGAGUGAGCAACAGGCCAUCUGCUGUUGCAGCCGCUUUUCCUCCCACACAUGGGAACAGCACCACUUCUCUUUGGAAAAAACACCUUUCUUCUGGUUUCAGUUCCCAGAAGUGCACUUGUCUACCCAUGUGUUCUCAAUUUCAUUUCAUUUCAUAACAUGCAAUCACAGGACACACAUUU